This 172-nucleotide small RNA is filed under the name Marmota monax (woodchuck). The record is from RNAcentral. Lineage: Eukaryota; Metazoa; Chordata; Mammalia; Rodentia; Sciuridae.
UAGCUCAUAUUUGAGUCAAAGAAUAGCUUAAAGCUGGUCAUUCAGAGCCUACACUUAGCCCUUGGAACACAUCCAUUUUUGUAAUUAAGAAAAAUUCAGGUAAUUGGAGGUUAAUACAAGAUUUAAGGGCAAUAAAUCCUGCAAUUCAACCUACUGGAGCAUUAAAAUUUGG